Molecule: non-coding RNA, 138 nt
Organism: Ornithorhynchus anatinus (platypus)
Lineage: Eukaryota; Metazoa; Chordata; Mammalia; Monotremata; Ornithorhynchidae
Source: Rfam
UCCCUCUCAGGGUUGCAUCUGGAGGGUUUCCAGUCCUCUACCAGUCUCGGCUACGGGAGGGAGAGUCAAGCAGAGGCCUGUCCGUUCCGUUCCUAGCUUGGGCAGUGGCUAGCGAGGGGAAGGCGAUCUGCUGCAAGU